CCCCCCCUCCCUCCCUCCCUCUCUCCUCUUUGUUAAACCCAGUGAUGUUGUUGUUGUUGUUGUUGUUGAUGUUGUUGUCCAAUGUGUUUGUUGUGGUUGAUGUGUGUUUGUUUGUUUACACCUGACAAACACACAAACGCACACACGCACACAGGACACACGCACACACACACACACACACAACAGGUGUUUUUUUUUAUCCCACAAAUACAUUAUUUGUUCGAGGUAUGUAAUUUCCAUUCUACGGAAAGAUUAUAAUUAUGAGGGGGGAGUUUGUUUGUUUGUUUGUUUGUUUGUUUGUUUGGUGAGGUAGUGUGUGUGUGUGUUUUUAUAAGUGAAUGUUUUAAGUUGUUUUUUGUUUUGAUUUCUUUAAGUAAUUUAUGUUUUUUUAAAGUAGUAAUUGAUCUUGUGUCUUGAAGUAGUGUGUGUGUUUUUAUAAGUGAAUGCUUUAAGUAGUUUUUUGUUUUGAUUUCCUUAAGUAAUUUGUGUUUUUUGAAGUAUGUUUUUUUCUAAGAUAUUUGUGUUUUUUUAAGUUAAUUUUGAAGUAUCCUUUUUUUUUAUUUUAAGUAAUUUUUUUUUUGAAGUAGUACAUAGUAGUAAUAGUAGUAGUUGUUGUUGUUUGCAUUUGAAAUUCUGUUUUUUUAAUAAUUUUGGUGUUUUUAAUUUUAGUUUUUUAUUUUUUGUUGAUUUUUAAAAGUAGUUUUUCCUUGUGAGUAAUUUAAAGUAAUCUGAUUAUUUAAAGUAAUAUUGAUGUUUGUAAUUCAGUUUUAUUCUGUUUUUAUUUUUAGAUUUUUGGUGUUUUUUUAGAAUUUUUUGCAUUUUUAUGAAUUUUUUGGCAUUUUUUAAGAAUUUUCGGCAUUUUCUUAGAUUUUUUGACAUUUUCUUACAAUUUUCGACAUUUUAAUACAAUUUGUGGCAUUUUUUAAUAAUUUUGUCAUUAUUAAUAACUAUGCCAUUUUUUUGUAGAAUUUUGAUGCACUGUGUAGCCUGUAUGCGUGUGUGUGUGUGUGUGUGUGUGUGUGAGAGAGAGAGAGAGAGAGAGAGAGAGAGAGAGAGAGAGAGAAAAGAUCUAUUUCUGAAACCAUGCUAGUAAAAAAAAUCAUGUAUGUGUGUGUGUGUGUGUGUGUGUGUGUGUGUGUGUGUGUGUGUAGACCUUAUAUACGUACACACUCGCCUACCUAUUUAUUUUUACGCACACAAAACUAUUUAUUGAACUAUUUAUUUUAGUAGUAGUAGUUGUUGUUGUUUGUUAGUUUGUCUGUUUUUAAUUUAUUAAUAAAAAUCCUGUUUACAACU
This is a long non-coding RNA of Eriocheir sinensis (Chinese mitten crab), 1296 nucleotides long. RefSeq lists it as uncharacterized. The record is from RefSeq and is a predicted model, not a curated record. The transcript is spliced from 2 exons. Lineage: Eukaryota; Metazoa; Arthropoda; Malacostraca; Decapoda; Varunidae.